UUAAGGCGAAACCGCGAAUGGCUCAUUAAAUCAGUUAUGGUUCCUUGGAUCGUACCUUACUACUUGGAUAACUGUGGCAAUUCUAGAGCUAAUACAUGCAGCAGAGCUCCGACCUUCGGGGACGAGCGCUUUUAUUAGACCAAAACCAAUCGGACCUCGUGUCCGUACGAUGUGGUGACUCUGUAUAACUUUGGGCUGAUCGCACGGGCCUGUCCCGGCGACGUAUCUUUCAAGUGUCUGCCUUAUCAACUGUCGAUGGUAGGUUACGCGCCUACCAUGGUCGUAACGGGUGACGGGGAAUCAGGGUUCGAUUCCGGAGAGGGAGCCUGAGAAACGGCUACCACAUCCAAGGAAGGCAGCAGGCGCGCAAAUUACCCACUCCCAGAACGGGGAGGUAGUGACGAAAAAUAACAAUACGGGACUCUUUUGAGACCCCGUAAUUGGAAUGAGUACACUCUAAAUCCUUUAACGAGGAUCCAUUGGAGGGCAAGUCUGGUGCCAGCAGCUGCGGUAAUUCCAGCUCCAAUAGCGUAUAUUAAAGUUGUUGCGGUUAAAAAGCUCGUAGUUGGAUCUCAGUUCCAGACGGGUGGUCCGCCUACCGGUGGUUACUGCCUGUUCUGAACAGCCAGCCGGUUUCUCUUGAUGAUCUUCACCGGUUGUCUUGGGUGACCGGCAAGUUUACUUUGAAAAAAUUAGAGUGCUCAAAGCAGGCGUGACGCCUGAAUAAUGGUGCAUGGAAUAAUGGAAUAGGACCUCGGUUCUAUUUUGUUGGUUUUCGGAACACGAGGUAAUGAUUAAGAGGGACAGACGGGGGCAUUCGUAUUGCGACGCUAGAGGUGAAAUUCUUGGACCGUCGCAAGACGAACUACUGCGAAAGCAUUUGCCAAGAAUGUUUCCAUUAAUCAAGAACGAAAGUUAGAGGUUCGAAGGCGAUCAGAUACCGCCCUAGUUCUAACCAUAAACGAUGCCAGCCAGCGAUC
RNAcentral lists this ribosomal RNA (980 nucleotides) under Asianopis zhuanghaoyuni. RNAcentral's name for it is "SSU rRNA". It matches the Rfam family "Eukaryotic small subunit ribosomal RNA", at positions 76 to 1054 of the family's 1831-position model. Lineage: Eukaryota; Metazoa; Arthropoda; Arachnida; Araneae; Deinopidae. The record is from RNAcentral.